CUGUUUUAGUUAGUAACUUACAUUAACUGAUCCACUUAGUCUCUUACAGUGACUGUAUUCCUACAGAACAGCCGUUAUGAAGGCAUUAUCAAGCAAAACAAUACAAACAAAGUAAAAGCUCUUUGAGGAUAAGUUCAUUUUGCUGAACAGAGGGUACGGGUGAGGUUAAAGAAGAGAGCCUCUGAGUUCUCAACCAACAGGAUCAAAUCAAACCACACCCAGUUAGUCUGGAACAAUGAGACCUCGCAGUGUUCUACACUGUCUAACCUCUCAGGACUCAUGCUGUGUGAGUGUGUGUGUGUGGACAUGGGUUAGUCUGUACGCGUGUGCGAGGCUGAAAGUGUUCCCCAGGGGGUAAGGGGAAAGGUCCCGUCUGUUAAUGUAGUAGCUUAUUAACAAAUGGUAGGGGUAAGAGUUAACACUAGUUACAGACCCUGUAUGGUAGGGGUUAGGGUUAGAGUUAACACUAGGUACACACCCUGUAUGGUAGGGGUUAGGGUUAACACUAGGUACACAUCCUGUAUGGUAGGGGUUAGGGUUAGAGUUAACACUAGGUACACACCCUGUAUGGUAGGGGUUAUAGUUAACACUAGGUACACACCCUGUAUGGUAGGGGUUAGGGUUAACACUAGGUACACACCCUGUAUGGUAGGGGUUAGAGUUAACACUAGGUACACACCCUGUAUGGUAGGGGUUAGAGUUAACACUAGGUACACACCCUGUAUGGUAGGGGUUAGAGUUAACACUAGGUACACACCCUGUAUGGUAGGGGUUAGAGUUAACACUAGGUACACACCCUGUAUGGUAGGGGUUAGGGUUAACACUAGGUACACACCCUGUAUGGUAGGGGUUAGAGUUAACACUAGGUACACAUCCUGUAUGGUAGGGGUUAGAGUUAACACUAGGUACACACCCUGUAUGGUAGGGGUUAGAGUUAACACUAGGUACACAUCCUGUAUGGUAGGGGUUAUAGUUAACACUAGGUACACAUCCUGUAUGGUAGGGUUAUAGUUAACACUAGGUACACAUCCUGUAUGGUAGGGGUUAGAGUUA
Molecule: long non-coding RNA, 1053 nt
Filed under: Salmo salar (Atlantic salmon)
Lineage: Eukaryota; Metazoa; Chordata; Actinopteri; Salmoniformes; Salmonidae
Description: lncRNA (ENSSSAG00000095491.1)
Source: RNAcentral